Molecule: ribosomal RNA, 711 nt
Filed under: uncultured bacterium
Lineage: Bacteria
Description: bacterial SSU rRNA
Rfam family: Bacterial small subunit ribosomal RNA
Source: RNAcentral
ACAACCAGCCGAAAGGUUGGCUAAUACCGCAUGAGUUCUACGGAAGAAAGAGGGGGACCCGCAAGGGCCUCUCGCGAGCGGAGCGGCCGAUGACUGAUUAGCCUGUUGGUGAGGUAACGGCUCACCAAAGCAACGAUCAGUAGCUGGUCUGAGAGGACGACCAGCCACACUGGGACUGAGACACGGCCCAGGCUCCUACGGGAGGCAGCAGUGGGGAAUUUUGGACAAUGGGCGCAAGCCUGAUCCAGCUAUUCCGCGUGUGGGAUGAAGGCCCUCGGGUUGUAAACCACUUUUGUAGAGAACGAAAAGACAUCUUCGAAUAAAGGAUGUUGCUGACGGUACUCUAAGAAUAAGCACCGGCUAACUACGUGCCAGCAGCCGCGGUAAUACGUAGGGUGCGAGCGUUAAUCGGAAUUACUGGGCGUAAAGGGUGCGCAGGCGGUUGAGUAAGACAGAUGUGAAAUCUCCGAGCUUAACUCGGGAAUGGCAUAUGUGACUGCUCGACUAGAGUGUGUCAGAGGGAGGUGGAAUUCCACGUGUAGCAGUGAAAUGCGUAGAUAUGUGGAGGAACACCGAUGGCGAAGGCAGCCUCCUGGGACAUAACUGACGCUCAGGCACGAAAGCGUGGGGAGCAAACAGGAUUAGAUACCCUGGUAGUCCACGCCCUAAACGAUGUUAACUAGUUGUUGGGAUGUAACAAUCUCAGUAACG